CACGUAGGGCGCAAGCGUUGUCCGGAAUUAUUGGGCGUAAAGAGCUCGUAGGCGGUCUGUUGCGUCCGCUGUGAAAACUCGGGGCUUAACCCCGAGCCUGCAGUGGAUACGGGCAGACUAGAGGUAGGUAGGGGAGAAUGGAAUUCCCGGUGUAGCGGUGAAAUGCGCAGAUAUCAGGAAGAACACCCGUGGCUAAGGCGGCUCUCUAGUACGGUACUGACGCUGAGACGCGAAAGCGUGGGGAGCGAACAGG
This 253-nucleotide ribosomal RNA is filed under the name uncultured bacterium. Its description in RNAcentral is "partial 16S ribosomal RNA". It matches the Rfam family "Bacterial small subunit ribosomal RNA", at positions 524 to 776 of the family's 1533-position model. The record is from RNAcentral.